AGAACCCUGAUGCAGCGACGCCGCGUGGAGGAAGAAGGUCUUCGGAUUGUAAACUCCUGUUGUUGAGGAAGAUAAUGACGGUACUCAACAAGGAAGUGACGGCUAACUACGUGCCAGCAGCCGCGGUAAAACGUAGGUCACAAGCGUUGUCCGGAAUUACUGGGUGUAAAGGGAGUGCAGGCGGGAAAGCAAGUUGGAAGUGAAAUCCAUGGGCUCAACCCAUGAACUGCUUUCAAAACUGUUUUUCUUGAGUAGUGCAGAGGUAGGCGGAAUUCCCGGUGUAGCGGUGGAAUGCGUAGAUAUCGGGAGGAACACCAGUGGCGAAGGCGGCCUACUGGGCACCAACUGACGCUGAGGCUCGAAAGUGUGGGUAGCAAACAGGAUUAGAUACCCUGGUAGUCCACACUGUAAACGAUGUAUACUAGUUGUUGCUGUGCUAGUCACGGCAGUAAUGCACCUAACGGAUUAAGUAUACCGCCUGGGGAGUACGGUCGCAAGAUUAAAACUCAAAGGAAUAGACGGGGACCCGCACAAGCGGUGGAGCAUGUGGUUUAAUUCGAAGAUACGCGAAGAACCUUACCUGGGCUUGAUAUCCAACUAAUCUCUUAGAGAUAAGAGAGUGCUAGCUUGCUAGAAAGUUGAGACAGGUGCUGCACGGCUGUCGUCAGCUCGUGUCGUGAGAUGUUGGGUUAAGUCCCGCAACGAGCGCAACCCACGUAUUUAGUUGCUAACAGUUCGGCUGAGCACUCUAAAUAGACUGCCUUCGCAAGGAGGAGGAAGGUGUGGACGACGUCAAGUCAUCAUGGCCCUUAUGCCCAGGGCGACACACGUGCUACAAUGGCAUAUACAAUGAGAUGCAAUAUCGCGAGAUGGAGCAAAUCUAUAAAAUAUGUCCCAGUUCGGAUUGGAGUCUGCAACUCGACUCCAUGAAGCCGGAAUCGCUAGUAAUCGUAGAUCAGCCAUGCUACGGUGAAUACGUUCCCGGGUCUUGUACUCACCGCCCGU
Molecule: ribosomal RNA, 1005 nt
Filed under: uncultured bacterium
Lineage: Bacteria
Description: bacterial SSU rRNA
Rfam family: Bacterial small subunit ribosomal RNA
Source: RNAcentral